Molecule: transfer RNA, 87 nt
Filed under: Chloroflexota bacterium
Lineage: Bacteria; Bacillati; Chloroflexota
Description: Chloroflexi bacterium tRNA-Ser
Rfam family: tRNA
About the family: Transfer RNA (tRNA) molecules are approximately 80 nucleotides in length. Their secondary structure includes four short double-helical elements and three loops (D, anti-codon, and T loops).
Source: RNAcentral
GGAGAGGUGCCGGAGUGGUCGAACGGGCUCGUCUCGAAAAUGAGUGUGCCCUUACGGGUACCGUGGGUUCGAAUCCCACCCUCUCCG